UGUGUUACUUUUUCAACGAGAAAGCACAUGGUUCGAAAAAUAAACGCUGUAAACUAUAAAUAAUUUCUCCGAUGAACAUGGACGAAAUCAGGAGUAAAAUCGGUAGGUUGAUAGUUCCACUAUAGUGGAACAUAUUAUAAUCACCAUGUAUUUUUUCAUCUCCUCAUAAGUACCCAACAAUCUUAUAUAGCAGCGGCCAACAAUCCAACCGCACAAGUCGUACAUCGCUGAACUACAACUUAAACAGAAUUAGCAACCGUCGUCCCAUCAACAGUAAACAGCCGGAUGUAUUUGAGUAUUCCAAUUCCCUCCUGAGCUUUCCUGAGUCUUUCCUGAGCUCGUGAAACAUCAAAUAAUGGAAUGCUUAGAAGAUCACCGUAACACUUACUACCAUCUUACAAACAGUAAAUCCAUACAAGUACAUCCACCAAACCAACAUGGAAUUUGGAAGCUGUCGCAGGACAGUAGUGAAGGUUUACUUCCCGAUGGAGACGGUGGGGAUGGGGAAUAAAUCAAGAUCGGACUACGACACUCACGGAAUUUCAACCAGAAGCAUCACCUACCCAUAGGAACUUUUAUAACCGGCUGAUUGAUGCAAAUAAUGCUAAGUCAUAACUUUCGUUCUAUUGAAGAGGAAGACGGCAAAGAUAAGCCCCAAACGCAAUACAACGGAACGGCGACGGAAACGGCAAAUUUAACAGAAAAUAUAUGGGCUAACUGUCAAAUUUUCCGUUUCCGUCGCCGUUCCGUUGUAUUGCGUUUGGGGCUAUACUCUCAAGCGUGAAGCGGCACCCGCUGGUAGCCAACCAAUUCAUUUUUAUUAAUUAAACGGAGCAAUUUAUUAAUCAUAUAUAUUUUUUACAUUCGUUUUCAUUUUAUUAGUUCCGCCCGGAAUGCGAUUUCCGUUAGAAGGACGAAAACCGAAGAAAGUUUUUUUUUCUAUAACUCCAUUGUUGAUUCGGUGAAGUUAUAGCAAAACAAAUGUUUCUUCAAUUGGGUUUCGAUUCGAUAACGGAAAUCGGAUUCCGGACGGAAUUUGCAUAUACUUCAUCAUUAUAUAAAUAUGAAAGAAAACACGAAAUUCAUUUGUUAACAAAUGAAGUUCAUCUCGAUUAUACUUUA
Armigeres subalbatus is the source of this 1122-nucleotide long non-coding RNA. RefSeq lists it as uncharacterized. The transcript has 3 exons. The record is from RefSeq and is a predicted model, not a curated record. Lineage: Eukaryota; Metazoa; Arthropoda; Insecta; Diptera; Culicidae.